UACGUAGGGUGCGAGCGUUGUCCGGAAUUACUGGGCGUAAAGAGCUCGUAGGUGGUUUGUCGCGUUGUUCGUGAAAACUCACAGCUCAACUGUGGGCGUGCGGGCGAUACGGGCAGACUGGAGUACUGCAGGGGAGACUGGAAUUCCUGGUGUAGCGGUGGAAUGCGCAGAUAUCAGGAAGAACACCCGUGGCGAAGGCGGCUCUCUGGGACGUGACUGACGCUGAGACGCGAAAGCGUGGGGAGCAAACAGG
Molecule: ribosomal RNA, 253 nt
Filed under: uncultured bacterium
Lineage: Bacteria
Description: partial 16S ribosomal RNA
Rfam family: Bacterial small subunit ribosomal RNA
Source: RNAcentral